GACGAACGCUGGCGGCGUGCCUAAUACAUGCAAGUUGAGCGCUGAAGGUUGGUACUUGUACCAACUGGAUGAGCAGCGAACGGGUGAGUAACGCGUGGGGAAUCUGCCUUUGAGCGGGGGACAACAUUUGGAAACGAAUGCUAAUACCGCAUAAAAACUUUAAACACAAGUUUUAAGUUUGAAAGAUGCAAUUGCAUCACUCAAAGACGAUCCCGCGUUGUAUUAGCUAGUUGGUGAGGUAAAGGCUCACCAAGGCGAUGGUACAUAGCCGACCUGAGAGGGUGAUCGGCCACAUUGGGACUGAGACACGGCCCAAACUCCUACGGGAGGCAGCAGUAGGGAAUCUUCGGCAAUGGACGAAAGUCUGACCGAGCAACGCCGCGUGAGUGAAGAAGGUUUUCGGAUCGUAAAACUCUGUUGGUAGAGAAGAACGUUGGUGAGAGUGGAAAGCUCAUCAAGUGACGGUAACUACCCAGAAAGGGACGGCUAACUACGUG
Molecule: ribosomal RNA, 497 nt
Filed under: uncultured bacterium
Lineage: Bacteria
Description: partial 16S ribosomal RNA
Rfam family: Bacterial small subunit ribosomal RNA
Source: RNAcentral